Molecule: ribosomal RNA, 363 nt
Filed under: uncultured Hypocreales
Lineage: Eukaryota; Fungi; Ascomycota; Sordariomycetes; Hypocreales
Description: SSU rRNA
Rfam family: Eukaryotic small subunit ribosomal RNA
Source: RNAcentral
GAACCUGCGGAGAGUAAGUAUAAGCAAUCAUACAGCGAAACUGCGAAUGGCUCAUUAUAUAAGUUAUCGUUUACUUGAUAGUGCCUUACUACUUGGAUAACCGUGGUAAUUCUAGAGCUAAUACAUGCUGAAAAGCCCCAACUUCGGAAGGGGUGUAUUUAUUAGAUACAAAACCAAUGCCCUUCGGGGCUCUUUGGUGAUUCAUGAUAACUAAACGAAUCGCACGGCCUUGCGCCGGCGAUGGUUCAAUCAAGUUUCUUCCCUAUCAACUUUCGAUGGUUCGGUAUUGGCCAACCAUGGUUGCAACGGGUAACGGAGGGUUAGGGCUCGACCCCGGAGAAGGAGCCUGAGAAACGGCUACUA